This 410-nucleotide long non-coding RNA is filed under the name Capsicum annuum. Its description in RNAcentral is "long non-coding RNA (CANN_LNC000745)". Lineage: Eukaryota; Viridiplantae; Streptophyta; Magnoliopsida; Solanales; Solanaceae. The record is from RNAcentral.
UAACACCCCUAAAAGGCCACAAUCACAUUGAUAUUGGGUGGUGAAACACACGUAAUUUUUUUUUAUCAAUUCUUUACUCCAUUCUUUUGUUCUUCUUUUUUUCCCUUUCUCUUCAUUUUAUUUUCUUCAAUCUCAAACCCUUUUCCCCCUUUCUUUUCAUCUUCUUUUCUUCAAUCUUAAAAGCCAAAAUGUGAAUACCCAUCUGCCAAUUUUUUUUCUUUUUCUUUCUUUCUUUCUUUAAAAAAAAAUAAUUUAUCAACUAUGAAAAUUGAUGUUGAAUUUAUGAUGAAAUUCAUAAUUUGAAUUAGAAGAUUUGUUUGAAUUGAAGUGUGGUGAAAAAUAACAUUGAUGGUGAAAAAUAACAUUGUAUUGAUAAUAUAAUGUUGUCUUAAAUAGUCUUAAUUUUUUUU